AGUGGAUACGUACUAUAAAAGACCGUCCAGUUGUUGUUGAAUUAGUCUCAUCGUUUCUGUACAGUGUAUACAAUCGAACAACAAAAAUGAAAACCUUCGCUUUAUUUUUCAUUUUCGCCCUAAUUUGUGCGACCACUUUCGCCAAAUACUACCAACCCAACAUCUUCGCGGGACACCAGCGUGUCCUGGACCAGCGAACCGAACCUGCUGACAUUUUCAAAGCCCUAGGCGACUUCUUUAACAAAUUGAGCAGCGCGAAUUCAGGCUAGAAGAGACCAACGAUAAAUAAUUUCAGAAGAAAAGCUCCUGUCAUUUGUCCACCUACUAUCACGGAAGUAAUAGCGUAUCAUAACCAUAUUCAAAAGAAAUAAAUUUCAUCCCUGUCAGUUUGAUUAA
Molecule: long non-coding RNA, 396 nt
Organism: Zophobas morio
Lineage: Eukaryota; Metazoa; Arthropoda; Insecta; Coleoptera; Tenebrionidae
Exons: 2
Source: RefSeq, a predicted model, not a curated record